CACGAACCUGGCGGCGUGCCUAUACAUGCAGUCGAGCGAAUAGGAUUAAGAGCUUGCUCUUAUGAACCUAGCGGCGGACGGGUGAGUAACACGUGGGUAACCUGCCCAUAAGACUGGGAUAACUCCGGGAAACCGGGGCUAAUACCGGAUAACAUUUUUAACCGCAUGGUUCCAAGUUGAAAGGCGGAUUCGGCUGUCACUUAUGGAUGGACCCGCGUCGCAUUAGCUAGUUGGUGAGGUAACGGCUCACCAAGGCAACGAUGCGUACCCGACCUGAGAGGGUGAUCGGCCACACUGGGACUGAGACACGGCCCAGACUCCUACGGGAGGCAGCAGUAGGGAAUCUUCCGCAAUGGACGAAAGUCUGACGGAGCAACGCCGCGUGAGUGAUGAAGGCUUUCGGGUCGUAAAACUCUGUUGUUAAGGAAGAACACUUGCUAUAUGAAUAAG
This 450-nucleotide ribosomal RNA is filed under the name Bacillus sp. VP6-M114. Its description in RNAcentral is "bacterial SSU rRNA". It matches the Rfam family "Bacterial small subunit ribosomal RNA", at positions 36 to 468 of the family's 1533-position model. The record is from RNAcentral. Lineage: Bacteria; Bacillati; Bacillota; Bacilli; Caryophanales; Bacillaceae.